UGGGGAAUCUUGGACAAUGGGCGCAAGCCUGAUCCAGCCAUGCCGCGUGGAUGAUGAAGGCCUUAGGGUUGUAAAAUCCUUUCGUUGGGGACGAUAAUGACGGUACCCAAAGAAGAAGCUCCGGCUAACUUCGUGCCAGCAGCCGCGGUAAUACGAAGGGGGCUAGCGUUGUUCGGAUUUACUGGGCGUAAAGCGCGUGUAGGCGGGUCGUUAAGUUGGGGGUGAAAUCCCGAGGCUCAACCUCGGAACUGCCUUCAAAACUGGCGACCUGGACCUAAGUAGAGGCAAGUGGAAUUGCGAGUGUAGAGGUGAAAUUCGUAGAUAUUCGCAGGAACACCAGUGGCGAAGGCGACUUGCUGGACUUAUGGUGACGCUGAGACGCGAAAGCGUGGGGAGCAAACAGGAUUAGAUACCCUUGUAGUCCCUGAGCGGGCUGGCAAGGCGCAU
Molecule: ribosomal RNA, 447 nt
Filed under: uncultured bacterium
Lineage: Bacteria
Description: bacterial SSU rRNA
Rfam family: Bacterial small subunit ribosomal RNA
Source: RNAcentral